UAACCUGCCCAAGAGAUCGGGAUAACACCUGGAAACAGAUGCUAAUACCGGAUAAUAACAGAUGAUGCCUAUCAACUGUUUAAAAGAUGGUUCUGCUAUCACUCUUGGAUGGACCUGCGGUGCAUUAGCUAGUUGGUAGGGUAACGGCCUACCAAGGCGAUGAUGCAUAGCCGAGUUGAGAGACUGAUCGGCCACAUUGGGACUGAGACACGGCCCAAACUCCUACGGGAGGCAGCAGUU
Molecule: ribosomal RNA, 240 nt
Filed under: uncultured Lactobacillus sp.
Lineage: Bacteria; Bacillati; Bacillota; Bacilli; Lactobacillales; Lactobacillaceae
Description: partial 16S ribosomal RNA
Rfam family: Bacterial small subunit ribosomal RNA
Source: RNAcentral